GUGGGGAAUCUUGCGCAAUGGAGGCAACUCUGACGCAGCCAUGCCGCGUGCAGGAAGAAGGCGCUACGCGUUGUAAACUGCUUUUAACCGGGAAGAAACCCCAGGACGUGUCCUGGGUUGACGGUACCGGAGGAAUAAGCACCGGCUAACUUCGUGCCAGCAGCCGCGGUAAUACGAAGGGUGCAAGCGUUAUCCGGAUUCAUUGGGUUUAAAGGGUGCGUAGGCGGAGCGUUAAGUCAGUGGUGAAAUCCUGCAGCUUAACUGUAGACUUGCCAUUGAUACUGGCGCUCUUGAGUGCGCUUGAAGUGGGCGGAAUGUGCCGUGUAGCGGUGAAAUGCUUAGAUAUGGCACAGAACACCAAUUGCGAAGGCAGCUCACUAAGGCGAUACUGACGCUGAGGCACGAAAGCGUGGGGAUCGAACAAGAUUAGAAACCCUGGUAGUCC
This 445-nucleotide ribosomal RNA is filed under the name uncultured bacterium. Its description in RNAcentral is "partial 16S ribosomal RNA". It matches the Rfam family "Bacterial small subunit ribosomal RNA", at positions 354 to 796 of the family's 1533-position model. The record is from RNAcentral.